This 508-nucleotide ribosomal RNA is filed under the name Salmonella enterica. Its description in RNAcentral is "partial 23S ribosomal RNA". Lineage: Bacteria; Pseudomonadati; Pseudomonadota; Gammaproteobacteria; Enterobacterales; Enterobacteriaceae. The record is from RNAcentral.
CCACCAUCUCGUGAGUGUUUACGAAAAAAUACUUCAGAGUGUACCUGAAAGGGUUCACAUGAACCGUUAUAACCGGCGAUWYCCGAAUGGGGAAACCCAGUGUGAYUCGUCACACUAUCAUUAACUGAAUCCAUAGGUUAAUGAGGCGAACCGGGGGAACUGAAACAUCUAAGUACCCCGAGGAAAAGAAAUCAACCGAGAUUCCCCCAGUAGCGGCGAGCGAACGGGGAGGAGCCCAGAGCCUGAAUCAGCAUGUGUGUUAGUGGAAGCGUCUGGAAAGGCGCGCGAUACAGGGUGACAGCCCCGUACACAAAAGCGCAUGUGCUGUGAGCUCGAUGAGUAGGGCGGGACACGUGGUAUCCUGUCUGAAUAUGGGGGGACCAUCCUCCAAGGCUAAAUACUCCUGACUGACCGAUAGUGAACCAGUACCGUGAGGGAAAGGCGAAAAGAACCCCGGCGAGGGGAGUGAAAAAGAACCUGAAACCGUGUACGUACAAGCAGUGGGAGC